AAACUUUCAACAACGGAUCUCUUGGCUCUGGCAUCGAUGAAGAACGCAGCGAAAUGCGAUAAGUAAUGUGAAUUGCAGAAUUUAGUGAAUCAUCGAAUCUUUGAACGCACAUUGCGCCCCUUGGUAUUCCGAGGGGCAUGCCAGUUCGAGCGUC
This 154-nucleotide ribosomal RNA is filed under the name Erysiphe neolycopersici. RNAcentral's name for it is "Oidium neolycopersici 5.8S ribosomal RNA". It matches the Rfam family "5.8S ribosomal RNA". Rfam says of the family: 5.8S ribosomal RNA (5.8S rRNA) is a component of the large subunit of the eukaryotic ribosome. It is transcribed by RNA polymerase I as part of the 45S precursor that also contains 18S and 28S rRNA. Functionally, it is thought that 5.8S rRNA may be involved in ribosome translocation. Lineage: Eukaryota; Fungi; Ascomycota; Leotiomycetes; Helotiales; Erysiphaceae. The record is from RNAcentral.